RNAcentral lists this ribosomal RNA (343 nucleotides) under uncultured bacterium. RNAcentral describes it as "bacterial SSU rRNA". It matches the Rfam family "Bacterial small subunit ribosomal RNA", at positions 29 to 402 of the family's 1533-position model. The record is from RNAcentral.
AACGAACGCUGGCGGCAGGCCUAACACAUGCAAGUCGAACGCUCCGCAAGGGAGUGGCGCACGGGUGAGUAACACGUGGGAACCUACCUUCUGGUACGGAACAACCAAGGGAAACUUUGGCUAAGACCGUAUACGACCUCCGGGUGAAAGAUUGAUCGCCGGAAGAGGGGCCCGCGUCCGAUUAGGUAGUUGGUGAGGUAACGGCUCACCAAGCCUUCGAUCGGUAGCUGGUCUGAGAGGAUGACCAGCCACACUGGGACUGAGACACGGCCCAGACUCCUACGGGAGGCAGCAGUGGGGAAUAUUGCGCAAUGGGCGGAAGCCUGACGCAGCGACGCCGCGU